UGGUGGAGUGAUUUGUCUGGUUAAUUCCGAUAACGAACGAGAUCUUUACCUGCUUACUAGACACGCGUAUCUUUACCGUUAAGCCUUGGUCGUGGCGUUUGGUCCCGCUUCCUUCGGGGGGCGGUGGACCCCUGCGGCCUCGGUGGACUGAUACGUGGAUGAGCUUCUUAGAGGGACUAUCUGCGUUUAGCAGAUGGAAGUUGAAGGCAAUAACA
RNAcentral lists this ribosomal RNA (215 nucleotides) under uncultured eukaryote. RNAcentral's name for it is "partial 18S ribosomal RNA". It matches the Rfam family "Eukaryotic small subunit ribosomal RNA", at positions 1299 to 1458 of the family's 1831-position model. The record is from RNAcentral.